This 15416-nucleotide long non-coding RNA is filed under the name Capsicum annuum. RNAcentral's name for it is "long non-coding RNA (CANN_LNC004519)". The record is from RNAcentral. Lineage: Eukaryota; Viridiplantae; Streptophyta; Magnoliopsida; Solanales; Solanaceae.
AAUUAUUGAAAAUAAAAAAAAAAAGAUUUUAGUAAGAUAUUUUGCUAAUUUGAGUGACAGUCGGCAAUUACAGCUCCCAAUCCAACGACGCCGGCAGUCGGCAGCCGUAUCCGAACCCAGCUUCCCAAAUUGACCCGUAUCCGAAUUCGAUCCGACCCAAUCAGCGUACAAACGCAAUUUCCCUCAACAGCUCAGCCCUUUUGGUUUUUGAAUUUCGAAUUUGUGCCAACCUGAUAGUGCAAUUACAGCUCAUCCUCCUUUUCCCUUUCUAAAAAAAUCAAACACCUUUACCCCAAAGAUUUCGGAGAUUACCCUCGGAUUCCUCUUUCUCCCACGGGAGUGGGAUUUCAAAAGAACCCCUCAAUUCAUUCUAUAAAAGAGCUCAUGAUUUAGCUGGAAAAGGAGGGGGAGCAGAGGUCGGGGAGGGAAAAAGAACCCAUUUGAGCAAAUUUAGUAAAUUUUCACUUUUAGUAAAAAAUUUUGAGAAGCGGUCGAAGCUUUUGAAAUCACGGCGAAGCUUUUCCGGUGGUGGUUGUGAGUCCGACGAAAGCUCGACGUCCUGUUUUGCUGCUCCCGAACAGGUAACAUUCCGUCGCCGUUUAAAUUUCGAUCGCAUUCUGCCUCAUCUCGCCGUUCUAUAGUCGUAAAUAAUUUUCGAUACUGUUUAUGUGCUGGGUUGUUUGCUGGUAGAGGCGUUAAGGGCCAUAGGUUUCUCUGUAAUUGUGAAGCAAGUGUCGGAUUAUUGUUGCGUUGGAUUAAUUUUUGUUUUAAGUUGUCUAAUGUGCGAUUUCUGUUGUCUCUGCCUCGACAUUGAUUUCGCCAUUUACUCUCGAUAUUGUUGGUUAAUCUUCGACUUAACAUCCCCGUCUUGGGUACUGCUUGUGAUUUGAAUGCUGGUUUCGUCAUGCUUCGAUUUUUUGAUUAAUGGUUUCGGACUGAUGGUAACUCAUUAUAGCUGGUUUGGUAGCUAAAUUUUCAUACUUUGAUUAAUAGUUUCGGGCUGCUGGUGCCUUGUUAAGGCUGGUUUCGUCGUUUAAAGUUUCGUGCUGUGAUUUUGUUUAAUAGAUUCGGUGAUGGUCUCAUAGUUAAAGCUUUUUUGCUUUGGUCUUGUUUAAUAGCUUCAGGUUGAUGGCGUCUAGUUCGUGGUUAGUAUUCGAUGUUGCCUUGUUUGUCGGGACUUCCUCUCGAGUUCUUUGGCUUCUCGAAUGACAAAGAAUGACGAGGAUACAUUAGACAAAAACUGACAAAUCUCAUAAUUCCUCGAUGACCGUUUUGGCUAUUAAAACUCGUUUUGAGUUUGUCAAAAAGAGGAUGAAGUUGAUAGUAGUGCCCUGCCAUUUCUCCUUUAGCUUUAUUUGCUAUGUCUGUCUUGUGUGGAUUUGAAUUUUCUUUUAUCCUUCUUUGCCUCUUGAGCUCGUUGCCAGUAUGUGGUCGAGUUGGGGAGAUGAACGCAAUAAUUGGGUAUCUUAGUAUGUCUAUUUACAGGGGAUAGUCUGAUUUUGUUUUCGCUAUGGGAAUGGAGCAUCACAGUUCCAGUAUGUGGUCGAGUUGGGGAGAUGAACGCAAUAAUUGGGUAUCUUAGUAUGUCUAUUUACAGGGGAUAGUCUGAUUUUGUUUUCGCUAUGGGAAUGGAGCAUCACAGUUGUAUGUCUCUUUGAAUAUCUACUGUCGAAUGGAACUUGGGUUUAUAUGUCAGUUUCGCUUCUUUUCUAUGUUCAUUCAGUCUCUUGAUUAGGUCGUGUGGUUAUGUUUAGGCAUGAAGUUGUCGAAAUAGCUUGCAAACCGUUUUCUUUCGUCUCUAGUAACAUGAGAAUGGUAUAUAGUUUUGAUAUUGAUUGGUUUAUCUGAAGUGCGGCUUUAUUUUGAUUUUAGUAUUAGGAAAAAUGAUAGUUUCUUAGUUGAAGAGAGACCCUCCUUGCUUUCAUUGAUUGGAUGGACUUGUAUCCCAUAUAAUAUAAGUUAAAAGAAGUGGAAUGAAUUUGUUUUGGUUCAUCUGUGGCGUAAAUUUUUUUUAUUCAUUUUUUUUUAGAAAUUAUCUUCAAGUGAGACGUGAUUACCAAUAUAGCGUAAGUUGUUUGUGAAUAUUUUUUUUCUUUUUGUGGUGUUUUUUGAGAAUAAGAAACUUACUCCUCAUCAGUUCUGUGUUUUGGUUGAGUGUUUUGAUGGUCAAUUAAUAAAACUUUCUCAGUUUAUGUAUACUCUUUUUCAUUGGUAAGUACUUAACGCUAUCUGAAAUCUUUGUUGCUUCGACUCAGUUAACUUUGGUGAUAAGUUGGUUUUAGAUAACGCUAGGAAACUUAUUUGGAUGUGACAAUAUUGACUGUGUGGUGAUCUAUCUACUUUCAUUUAGAUUAUUAUUGGUUACGUGAACUAGGUGUAUGUGCAGAUUUUAUUAUGCAUUAACUGCAUCCUGUAAAAAAUUUUCCUUGUUGGAACCAUACAUCUUGCAACAUUGUCCUCUGGUAUUUUUUUUUUGUUUAAAAAAAAAUAUUGUUUUCUGGCAUCCUCUAUCUGGCUUACAGUUUUAUACCAUGGGACAUGGACGGGUUGUGUGCAAGUAAUAGUUGCCCUUUUAAUCUGUAACGAAGGUCAUACAUUGCUUUGGUUGAGUAAAAUUGGUCUUAGCUUGUAUCUAAGGUCAUACACUUGAUGUAUAGUGUUCAUGCAUGAAUGAGCAAGAGGGUAUAUUGGCUUUAGUGAUGGGAGAAACUGUGAUGGUAUUGAUAGAUGUUAAUCAUUAAGGUACAAAGUGGCUUCUAAAUGAAGGGAUUGGACUUGUCAAAGCCUGCCGUGAACUUCUAAGAUGUUUGUUGAGAAAGUUAAGUAGGAGGUGACAAAAAAGUCUUUAAAUUAAAAGUGGUGACAACUUUAACCAUCUAAGGUCAAAGCUUCAUUUAAAUUGGGGCAAAUUAAUUAAGGGUGGCAAAAAAGUUUCAAAACUAUAAAAGAGUGACACAAGUCUUAAAUAUUGAGUAGAGAUUACAAUUUUAAAAUUAGUGUUAAUGACACUAAUUUUAAAACCCUCAAGUUUUAUUAUUUACACAAAAAUCUCUACCCCAUAUUUACACAAAUAUUCCUAUACCAUCACCACCACUCCUCCCCACAUCCUUUUUGUUGCCGCCCGCCGCCGCCACCUCCUCUUCCUCCACUAUCACUAUCACUAUCAUUGCCACCUCUUCCAGAUUCACCUUUAUUUCCUCCCUCUACAUAACUAUCACCUAUUUUUCUUCUUUUUCCUCUACCACCAUCGCUAUCAACACCACAACAAAUGUCAUCUUCUCAUUCAGCGUCACCACCAGCACCACCACCUUUAUUUUUACCUUAAAUAUCACUUUUUCAUGGGCUCCUCCUCCAAUCAGAUCUUUUUUCAGAAAUUAAGUAAGUAUCGAAGUUGCUGCAGCAACAGUCGAAGUUGCUGCAGCAACGAUUGUUGCUGCAACUUUGAUAAUUGCUACAGCAACUUCGAUAAUUGCUACAACAACUUCGAUAAUUGCUACAACAACUUCGAUGAUUGCUGUAAUAGAACAACUAAUAGUAGUUGUUGCAGCAAUUACUGUAGUUGCUGAAGUAACUCUCGUAGUUGCUGAAUUUGCUAAAUUAUUUCUUCAUUCAUUUUAAAAAUAAAUCAGAAAAUUUCUUUUUAAACUUUUAAUUUUUUUUUUAAUAGUCCAUAAAAAUUAAAAAAGGAAGAACAAAAUGAAAAGAGAAAGAAAAAAAAGAAAAGAUGGAAGAAAAGGAAAAUCUAGAGAGAGAAAAAAAUAAGAAAAAGAUGAUGGGGAGAAAGAAAAAGAAGAAGAAAGAUUGAAAGAUAAGAAAAGGGGAAAACUCUAAAAUUUGAAAUUUGGAGUUAAGAGGGCUUUUUAAAAAAUUUAAAUUCUUUUAAAAAGGGGAAAAUUUCAGAAAUAACAACCUUGUAGCCUUAAUUAUAACUUUUAUAGCAACAGUUUCAUAAUUACGAAAAAUAGUAAAUUGUAUUUGUAUUUAAGUAAAAUGUUGCUAUAUAAAUACAUAUACAAAUAUAUAUGUAGUACUCAUAAAUACACAUGCACAACUGAAAAAUACAUAUUCUUCUAUUACUAUAAAGUGGGUAAAAUAUUGCUACUUUUGUUAUAAGUUGUAAUUUUGAAAAGUGUUGUUAUUUAUUGUAAUUAUAGUCUUAAGGAUGCUAGUUUAUGUAAUUUUUACACCCCAAUUAACUUAAUCACCAUGUUUGUUUUCACCAAUAGUUUUCUUUAUUAUGAUUCACAUAAACCAUCUAUUAUUUAUGUGCUAACUCAACCAGUAUAGUUAUGUGGUAAUUAGCUACCAAAGCUUGGGCAAGUAGGAAGUUGUCCCCUAACAUUUUCUUUGCUAGGAUUUGAUCUAUGAAAUUUGGUUUUCAUCUACUUCUUGACCAUGCCUUGGGUGUUUGAAAAUAAAAAGAAACUCACUUUUAAGUUCUCCAAAAUCCCUUACUGUCUGUUAUUAUAGUAUUAUCUUGUGGUUGCAUGCUUUUACGUGUUUUGUUUGGUUUAUACUUUUAUGUGUUUUGUUUAUUUUCAACCGUAGCUUGUUUUCACGGGUUUUCUCCUAGAUUAUUUUUUAAUUCUUCCUUUUAGAAUAUUUAUUAAUUCAUAUAUCUUUUCCUCGCAUGAACCCGCUCGGGAGUCCAAAUAAACUCUUUUCUUUUCCUUGCAUUACACAAUGGGCCAUUAAGGCCUAUCCUUUGGAAGAUUUUGGGAGCCGGUUACAUGACAUAUGGAUACAAGGAGUCAAAAAGAUAGAAUGGGUUGAAGUCCCGUUCUUGAAGCGGCAACGACACUCGAAAGUCUCAUUCUUUUAUUUAUUUACUAGGAAAAUUAAUCGCGUUUCGCGCGGUGUUAAAAAAUUAAUUAUUUUUUUCAAUUAAUUUUAUAUUCACUUUAGAUUUAUUGUCUAAUUAUAAUAUUAUAACUUGUUAUAUUUAUAGUAUAAAGAAUGUUUCAUUUCAUAAAAAAAAUUAAUAAAUUUAAUAUUUAUUAAAUGACGGAUAGUAUAUUCUUUAUCAAUAAGUUAUAAUAUAUAUUCUCUAAUAACGACUUUAUUUCAUUUCUAUUUCACAUUUAAUGAUGUUGAGAUUUUAACUUGAAAUGAUGUACUUUCUUUUUCAAUCAAAAAGCAUGAAAAAAUUAAAUCAAGUAGAUCCUUGUGUAAAUACAUAUAAUUUCUCCGCACCGCACCGGAUUAUCAGUAAAAUUUAAAACCAACAUUUCAUAACUUUCUUCUUUAUAUGUUUCUGAAGUGUACAAUUUUAUACCUUACAAGAUUAAAAUAACUACACAAGAUUUUUUAUAUAGAAUUGAAAUAUUGUAUAUGAUGAUCCUUAAUUGUCCAUUCACAACUCUUAAUUUUCUUGAGUAAUGAAGAUUAUUAAGAGCAUGAGUUAUAAAGAUGCUAAUAUGUGAGUUAAAAGCAUAAAAUUAAUGGAUAUAUUAGAAUAGAAGUUAUGGGAAUGUGAAAUGAUGUAAGUUAUGAAAAUGACUUAUUAAAUAAAUUAUUUAAGAAAAAUAAAAAUACUUUAAAAUAAAUUAUUAUGUUAGCAUUAUAUAGUGAAAUGGAGACAACAAUAUCAAAAAAUAAGAAUAAAAAAUAGAUACAAUUGGAGGUCAUAAAGAAGUGAACAUCACCUCUUAUAUAUUUAUCUUUUUUAAAACUUUAAGCAUUUAAAAAAUUGACAUAAAGAAGAAUGCUAUAAAAUAAUGUAAGCAAUAUAUGCCCAUCAUAGCAAAGCUAAUGAAUUGUUACAAUAAUUAAAGAAGACAAAAGUCUAACCCUAUAACAUAUAUAUUUGAACAAAGAUGGAGAUAAGAUCUCCUUCUUUAUAAAGAGAGACUUUUGAGAUGCCUAACAUCAAGUAAAAGCUAUGGAGAACAAUAAUGUGAUAAAUUGAUAGUUCUAUUUAUAUUUUAUUCGAGUUCUCUAAAAAUUGAAGAGUAUAUCAUCUCAGUAUGGAAUAAUUAUGAAUACAUUUGACCUAAAAAUCUACCGCGAUAAGUUUUUUUUUUCUUUUUUUUUUUUUAAGUUUCUCAUCCAGUACUUGGGACCUCCAUUCGAGUCCGAUUAAUGCGGAUUCACACCGGAUAGAAUUCAUUCAAAGAUAUCGCUCCUACUAAAUAUUUUUCUACACUAAGAGGUCAAAACAGAGACUAAUUAAGGAGCAGGCCCUCCAACAACAAAUUUCAAUUUGGGAACAAAUGAAAAAUUUAAUGUCUAACCGAAUAAAUUGUAUUUUGCAUUACUAAACCUUCCAUUGGAUAAGCAGUUCCAACUUAAAAACAAAUUAUAACUUUGACAAUAAUAAUUAACCUGAAAAAAGAUGGAAAGAUUACAUCUUUGUGAUCAAUAUCCAAAGUUUGCAUUAUAAUUUAAAUAUUGACAGAAUCAAAGUCAACCAAAAACAAAAUAUGCCAACAAAACACUAAAACAUAUCAAGAAUGAGAUUUAAGCCACACAUUAGUAUACAUAUGACAAUAUUGUGAAAUGCUAUCGUUACCUCUUCAUAUCAAACAACUUCAUCUUCACCAUCCUUUUUAUAAGAUGAUGAUAAUAUAUAUUAAAAUCAAAGAUAUAAAAUAAAAUUAAAACAAAAAAGAAAGAAGAAAAUAAAGGAGAAGAGAAAAAAACAUAUCAUAAGACCCUCCCAAAAAAUGAGAAGAUUAUAUAUAGUAUGGAAAAUAGAAUAUAAAUAGGCAAAAAUAAAUUGUCCACUUAAUAGCCAUUUAUUUUUCUUAUUCAAUGUGCAGUUUUUUUUUCUUCAUAAAUAUAAUGACUUGUAAAAUAUUCAAAAAAACUCAAAAAUAGGAGAAAAAAGAUAAAUAUUUUUCUUGGCUUAUGAACCAUGCCACAUAAGCAUGCCUAUAAGUCUCCUUUAUAUAUAGAAAGAGAUAUUGUUGCGACAUCUAUUUGUAAGGGGUAAAAAAUUAAUGUCAAAAACAUUAAAAUUUAUUAUUAUUAUCAAUUAAGUCACUAAAAUAUCAUGUUCAGAGAUUGUUUCAUCGUUCAUUUCUAUUUUCAUUUGAAGAAGUAAUGUCGUUGCCUUCACGAUCUGUCACUUCCACUAGCAUCUCAAUGAUGGAGAUUUUACCAACACUUUUGAUGUGUUAUUUUUUAAAUAAUUUUGUGUCAACAAAUGCAUUGAUUAAGAAUAUACUCUUAUAUUUUGGGGGAAAAAGAGCUUUGAUAUAUAUGUUCAUUAAGGGAAACAUUGAUGGAUUCUUCAUGAAAUGCAAUAAAUAAAGAGAAAAGUUGGGAAAGACGUUUUGAAGAUGUACAACUGAACAACUUAUCAACUGUCCAUUAAUGAGAAAUAUAAAUAACAUCAAUUGCUUUUCUUUAGCGACCAACAUUAGUGCAUGUAUUAAAAUAAAAUUCAUAUUUUUUAUUAUAAUAAAAUAGAUUAAAAUACCUGAGAGAGGUCAAAAAAAAAAAAAGAAAAAAAAAAAAACAGAAAUGGUGGUGUGCCAUAUAGUCUUGCCUAUGUUUCUCACUCCUAGGUGGGAGAGUUCGUUUUGUAAAUUCCUUGCAAUUAAUUUUUAAAAAGACUUUAUGACCCUUUAAUAAGAAAUUCAUUUUUACAUAAAAAAUCUGAAAAAGUCAUUUUCUUCUAAUUCAUUUGUUAUAUUACGAUAUUCGGGUACAAGAAUCUGUAUAUAUACAACACCAACUUCAACUCUAGUUCAAGUCUAAGAUAAGAACACUUUUGAAGUUACUUAACACCUUCAACACUAGAUUAUGAAUAAUCUAUCUAAGAAGUGUGUUUUUUUUCAAAAAAAUAGAUGAAAUAGAAUUUGUAAGGCCAAGUCCCCCGACUUCACGGAGUGUCCUUAAGGAAUAAUUCCCCUCACUGUACCCGAGGUUAUGGAAUCUUCCUCCCAGGAUAAAAUGGCCUUCAAUCCGAACAAUAGCUGUACCUCAAAUUGUUGGAUUCAAUGAACUCACCCAACAGUUUGAUUGAUCACACAAAAUAUUUUGAAGACAAGAGGAGAGUUUGUAAUUCAGAAAAUUUGUGUCUAAACCUGUGGAUGAAAACAGGUUUAUAUUAGCCUUCAUAUGCCUCUUCUGAAAAGUGGCAAUGAUUCACUUAAAAGGUGUGACCUUUCCUGAAAAAUCAUGUCUGUUCGUCCAAAGAUUGCAUCUUUUUCGAACAGGCAAACCAUUUCAUGAAUCAGUGUAUCAUUUCAUCGAAGGAUUGCAUCCUUCCGAAGCAUCAGUUCGAAACAGUGCAUCUAGUUCAAAGCAGUGCAUCCUUCUGAAGCAUUAGUUCGAAACACUGCAUGCAUGCAUAUAAUUGGAGGAUCAAAACACAAAAAAUAAUUUUCCUUAGGAUUAAAUUUCUGUCAAAUAAAUUUUGUCCAAAAAGAUAGAUCUCAUCGAUCGAUCAUUUGACAAAUCCAAAUUCAAAUCCAACCGAAUUCGAAGUCGAGCGAGCGACGACGACGACGACGGCGCGAGGUAUCUCUUAUUUCUUGCCUCACUUACCAAGUGGAAUAAGUGUUUCUUAAUACAAACACUUGAAAGUCACAUUCUCCCACCAAUGUGGGAGAAAUAGUAGACUUUUCAUUUUAGAGUAUACUUUUCAUUUUAGUGUUUUUUUCUCUAUUUUUCCUUCCACGUAGUUUCCUCCAUUUUCCAUUCACACUUUAUCUAUACUUUGAACCCAACAAUCCCCUACAUGAAUGGGUAAUGACUAUUUUUCAUAAAAUUUUACGGACAAGUAUAUGAUUAUCAAGCAAAGACUGAUUGCAUCUGGAUAAGUGGGUUUCCCUUUGAACUUUCCGUAGUGAACAUGCAUUGGAUGCACUCGAUCAAUUGGUAGAUUUAAUAUCUUUGAACCGUUGAGAUUUAAUGUACACCUAGACAACACAUGUCACACAACCAACCUUUUAUCGUUUAUAGUUCUCACGGUUUUGUUCUUUUCAGCCAUGAGCACAUUUCGAUUUUAUGAGAGCUUAGAGAAUAGGCCUUUACUAACAUUCUCCUUGAAGCGGCUUCCAUUUCGCCCUCACAUACGUGAUUUCUAAACGUUUAAUCCUAUAGAUUAAACUAUUUGGUCAAAUCUGCCAAAUUUAGAUAAUCAUUAAAAGACUUUUCACCUUAAGUGUUAUCCUUGUUUACUAACCAUUGUCUACAUCAUGAGAAUGUGUUGGGUAUAUUGACAAUGUUAAACCUGUCAGUCACAACUUUGUUUGAUCUCAUUGAACCUAGCUCUUGGGAUCUCCAGUCUGCUAGGUAUAGUUACAGCUAUGCUGACUUGUCCUAGGCCUUAAACCCAUUCCCUUGAAUGUCCUUUCCACUCCUUCUCUAGAUAGGCCUUUUGUAAGUAGAUCGAACACAUUAUCCUUUGACUUUACAUUGUCAACAGUGAUAAUUCCACUAGAGAGAAGUUCCCUAAUGGUUUUAUGUCUUUGUCGUAUGUGACGAGAUUUACCGUUGUACAUCAUGCUCCUUGUCCUACUUAUUGCCGCUUGGCUAUCACAGUGUAUACAUACUGGUGCCAUUGGUUUGGGCCAAUAAGGAAUAUCUUUUAAGAAAUUUCGGAGCCAUUCUGCUUCUUCACCGANNNNNNNNNNNNNNNNNNNNNNNNNNNNNNNNNNNNNNNNNNNNNNNNNNNNNNNNNNNNNNNNNNNNNNNNNNNNNNNNNNNNNNNNNNNNNNNNNNNNNNNNNNNNNNNNNNNNNNNNNNNNNNNNNNNNNNNNNNNNNNNNNNNNNNNNNNNNNNNNNNNNNNNNNNNNNNNNNNNNNNNNNNNNNNNNNNNNNNNNNNNNNNNNNNNNNNNNNNNNNNNNNNNNNNNNNNNNNNNNNNNNNNNNNNNNNNNNNNNNNNNNNNNNNNNNNNNNNNNNNNNNNNNNNNNNNNNNNNNNNNNNNNNNNNNNNNNNNNNNNNNNNNNNNNNNNNNNNNNNNNNNNNNNNNNNNNNNNNNNNNNNNNNNNNNNNNNNNNNNNNNNNNNNNNNNNNNNNNNNNNNNNNNNNNNNNNNNNNNNNNNNNNNNNNNNNNNNNNNNNNNNNNNNNNNNNNNNNNNNNNNNNNNNNNNNNNNNNNNNNNNNNNNNNNNNNNNNNNNNNNNNNNNNNNNNNNNNNNNNNNNNNNNNNNNNNNNNNNNNNNNNNNNNNNNNNNNNNNNNNNNNNNNNNNNNNNNNNNNNNNNNNNNNNNNNNNNNNNNNNNCAAAACCCUCAGGUUGUUCCAUGUAAAUUUCUUCCUCCAAUUCUCCACUUAGGAAUGCGAUUUUUCACAUCCAUUUGAUGGAUUUCAAAAUCAUAUACCGCCGCCAAGGAAAUUAAUAUUUGAAUCGAUGUUAUCCUUGUUACUGGCGAGUAUGUAUCAAAAUAAUCAAAACCUUCUUUUUGUUUGAAGUCUUUUGCUACAAGUCUUGCCUUGUAUUUGUCAAUAGUACCAUCCGCCUUCAUUUCCCUUUUGAGGAUCCAUUUAGAACCUAAAGGUUUAUUUCCUGGAGGAAGAUCAACCAAUUCCCACGUAUGGUUGCUUAAGAUUGAAUCAAUCUCACUGUUGACUGCCUCUUUCCAAAAGGAUGAGUCUGACGACGACAUCGCUUCUUUAAAUGUUUGAGGCUCAUUUUCUAAGAGAAAUGUUACAAAAUCUGAUCCAAACGAAGUAGACGUUCUUUGACAUGUACUACGUCUUUGAUUCUCUUCAUUAUGUAUAUUCUCACUUGGUUCAUCUCGAGGUCAUUUAGAUCCUCCACUAGACUGUUCAUGUCUAAUUUUAUACGGGUAAAUAUUUUUAAAAAAUUCAGCAUUAUCUGAUUCAAUUACCAUAUUUUUAUUUAUAUCCGAAUGUUUGGAUUUAUGAACCAAAAAUUGACAUGCUUUACUGCUUUUAGCAUAUCCUAUGAACACGCAGUCUACAGUCUUAGGUCCUAUCUUAACCCUUUUAAGCAUGGGAAUUUGGACCUUUGCUAGACACCUCCACAUUUUGAAAUAUUUCAAGUUGGGUUUCCUUCCUUUCCAUUUUUCAUAAGGAAUUGAUUGUGUCUUACUAUGUGGAGCUCUAUUGAGUAUACGGUUGGCUGUAAGGAUAGCCUCCUCCCACAAGUUUUGCAAAAAAUCGAAACUUAUAAGUAAGACAUUCAUUAUUUUCUUCAACGUUAGUUUUUUUCUUUUCGCAAUUCCGUUGGAUUGAGGUGAAUACGGGGCCGUAGUUUGAUGGACGAUUCCAUUCUCUACACAUAUUUCGGCGAAGAGAGAUUCAUAUUCUCCGCCCCUAUCACUUCUUAUCAUUUUUAUUUUUUUCUCUAACUGAUUUUCUACUUCAGUUUUGUAUUGCCUAAAUACAUCUAUUGCUCCAUCCUUACUAUUUAGCAAGUAGACAUAACAAUAUCUAGUGCAAUUGUCAAUAAAAGUUAUGAAAUACUUUUCCCACCACAUGAUGGUGUUGACUUCAUAUGACAAAUGUUAGUGUGUAUUAAGUCUAAGGGAUUGAAAUUCCUUUCAACGGACUUAUAAGGAUGCUUUGUAUACUUUGAUUCCACACACGUUUGACACUUUGACUUAUUGCAAUCACAGUUUGGCAAAACCUCUAAGUUAAUCAGUUUUCGUAACAUUUUGUAAUUAACAUGCUUAAACGUUCAUGCAACAACUUAUAAGACUCAAGCAAGUAAGAAGAAUUUGAACUUUUAUUGAUUUCAACAUUCAUUACAUUCAUCUUAUAAAGGCCCUUGGUGAUAUAGCCUUUUCCUACAUACACUUCUUCUUUCCUAAUUACAAUUUUUCCAGAAACGGUUACACAUUUGAAUUCGUUCUUGUCUAGAAGUGAAACAGAAAUCAAGUUCCUACGUACUUUCGGAAUAUAUAAGACAUUGUUAAGUGUCAAGACCUUUCCUGAAGUCAUUUUCAGGACCACUUUUCCUCUUCCUUCUACCUUAGCCGUAGCGGAGUUAGCCAUGUAGAUCAUUUCUUCUACUUGAGUCGGAGCGAAUGACGAAAACAACUCUUUGUUGACACAAACAUAGUAGGUGGCACCAGAAUCUAUCCACCACUUGGGAAGAUUCCCCACCAAGUUGCAUUCUGAAAACAUAGCACACAGAUCAUCACAUUCUUUGUUGUACUCAAUCAUAUUUACUUGGUCCCUUUUCUUGCCUUUCUUAGGGGCACGACAAUUCGUGGACUUAUGGCCAAUCUUGCCACAGUUGAAGCACUUUCCCUUGAAUUUCUUCUUGGGUUGAUUGCUUCCUUGUUUAACUUUCUUCUUUUUCUUAGAAUUAUUUUGGUUAUCUUCUACAAUAUGUGCUCCAUUAAUUGUAGAAUUCCUUUUUGACCUUCUCUCGGCAGCCUUGUUAUCCUCUUCAAUAUGCAGUCGAACAAUAAGAUCUUCGAUAGUCAUCUUCUUGCGUUUGUGCUUCAAGUAGUUUUUGAAGUCUUUCCACACAGGUGGUAGCUUCUCAAUGAUCUCUGCUACUUGAAAUGGAUCAUUCACAAUCAAAACUACAAAACAGUUUAUUUGAGUACUAAGAAUAUUUUCAAUUUGUUCAACUAAGGUAUUUUUCAAAGUUAUACCAUCCGCUAGGAGAUCGUGGGUGAUUACUUGCAAUUUCUGUAGUUGAGAGAUAACCGCUUUGCUAUCUAUCAUUUUAAAGUCCAGGAACCUUGCAACAAAGAAUUUCUUAAUUCUCGCAUCCUCUGUCUUGUAUUUUCGUUCUAGUGCCCCCCACAAUUCCUUCGAUGUCUUAGUUCCGCUGUAAACAUUAUAAAGGUCGUCUUGGAGACCACUCAAGCUAUAGUUCAUGCAAAAGAAAUCUGAGUGCUUCCAAGCCUCUACAAUUAUGAAACGCUCUUUGUCUGAGGUUCUCUCGGGCACCUCAGGAGCAUUCUCACUAGUGAACCUUUGAAGACAUAGUGUUGUGAGGUAGAAGAAUAUCUUCUGCUGUCAUCUCUUAAAGUCAAUGCCCGCAAAUUAUUCGGGCUUCUCCGCAGGUGCCAUAGGUUGUGGAGCAUUUGCUCGACUUGUUGAGGCAAUACUAGUUGCCCCCACAGUCGUAGCCGCAUCUUGAAUUUGACUUUCGUUAGUCAUUUUUUCUGUUUCCAUAAGACAAUAAAAUUUAGUAUUUUCAGAAUUCUACUUAUAAAGUUAAGCAACUUUAAACUUUUCCUUUUGUUUCUAGUUAACGAUGAAGUUUUUAUGACUUCCAAUCGUCAACCGAGUGAUCUUUAACUUGUGAUGAAGAUUUUAUGUCUUCGAAUCACUAGUUAAGUUCAAAUAGAGUAGAAAGUUUUAAAGCUUUAAUCUCCAAAAAUUAGCAAUACAGAUUCUGUAAAUUAUUCCUUAAGAUUGUUAUAUUACGGUGUUUGGGUACAAGAAUCUGUAUACAUGCAACACCAACUUCAACUCUAGUUCAAGUCUAAGACAAGAACACUUUUGAAGUUACUUAACACCUUCAACAUUAGAUUAUGAAUAAUCUAUCUAAGAAGUGUGUUUAUUUUCAAAAAAUAGAUGAAAUAGAAUUUGUAAGGCCAAGUUCCCCGACUUCACGGAGUGUCCUUAAGGAAUAAUUUCCCUCACUGUACCCGAGGUUAUGAAAUCUUCCUCCCAGGAUAAAAUGACCUUCAAUCCGAACAAUGGUUGUACCUCAAAUUGUUGGAUUCAACGAACUCACUCAACUGUUUGAUUGAUCACACAGAAUGUUUUGACAAGAAGAGAGUUUGUAAUUCAGAAAAUUCGUGUCUAAACCUGUGGAUGAAAGCAGAUUUAUGUAGCCUUCGUAUGCCUCUUCUGAAAAGUGACAAUGGUUCACUUAAAAGGUGUGACCUUUCCUGAAAAAUAAUAUCUGUUCAUCCAAAGAUUGCAUCUUUUCCGAACAGGCAAACCAUUUCAUGAAUCAGUGUGUCAUUUCAUCGAAGGAUUGCAUCCUCCCGAAGCAUCAGUUUGAAACAGUGCAUCCUUCUGAAACAUCAGUUCGAAACACUGCAUGCAUGCAUAUAACUGGAGGAUCAAAAAACAAAAAAUAAUUUACAGUGUUUUUUAUUUUAUUUUUGAAUUAAAUUUUAUCCAGGAAGAUAUAUCUCAUCAAUCGAUCCAAAGCCAAAGCCGAGCUGAGCGACGACGACAGCACUAAGCAUCUCUUAUUUCUUGCCUCACUUACCAAGUGGAAUAAGUGUUUCUUAAUAUAAACACUUGAAAGUCACAUUAUCCCACCAAUGUGGGAGAAAUAGUAGACUUUCCAUUUUAGAGUACACUUUUUAUUUUAGUGUUUUCUUCUCUAUUUUUCCUUCCACUUAGUUUGCUCCAUUUUCCAGUCACACUUUAUCUAUACUUUUAACCCAACAUCAUUUUUUAAGUAAUCAUGAGAUCCCAUUUGUUUCUUAUAGAUUUUCUCACACCAUGAAAAACGCUUAAAUGUAUCUUUUGGUCUAUGUGGAUGCUAAAUUAUCUAGCUAAUAAGUAAACAAUAUAGAGGGCCGAAAAACAUUCAGUAGUUUAACAUGUUCUUGGAGUAUACAAAUAAAGAUGAGUGAAAAAGUGAGGAAAAAUACAACGAAAAGACGAAAAGAUCAACUACUGAUUUAUUCAAAAAAUCUAGGUGACUCAUAAAAGAUCUGCAACAUUUUUUCAAUGAAAGAUUUCUUUUCUUGGAGGGUUGUCGCCAAAUAAAAGGAGUCAAAUGUUAGGUAUUUAAUAUAUUAUAUGCAUUUAUACUAUUUAUUUGAAGUUCAAGAAAAUAAAGAAUAAAUUUUGAAUUUUGUAGUUUUAAAUUAAAGAUACAUAGAAUGUAUUAAAAUAUCUUUUAAUUUUAUAAUCUUAAAAUAUGUCAUGUGAAAAGUUGAACCUUUAAGCAUUGAAAAAAUUGAAAAGAGACAUUAUGUUCUUUGUGAAACGGAAUUAAAAAAAAUAGAAAAAAUGAAUCAAAAACAAAGAAAGUAUUAAUUGAAGUUUGAAAGAAUAAUAUAGAGUUUCAAAAAGACGUCUUAAUGUAAAUUAACCUUCGUCCUUUUUAAAGAGAUCCAAGUGUUGUUGUCCUAAGCUACGGACAUUCCGUUACACCUGCACCUCGUGAUUUGGUCAUUAGAUUCAUUUUAGCAUAUUCUGCAUUAUCCAAGCAAAUAUACUACCAUCACAGAGUGAGUGAAAAAGUAUUAAUGGAAAUUAUACUAUAUAGCUGUUUAAAAGCUCUUAAAUGGUUAAAUCGGGAACUAUCUACUUUUAGUUUUUCCAAUUGGAAUUCUCACUAAUUCGAAUCCACAUUGUAGGAUCCAUUUUGGGGUGAUGCUUCGAACGAAUUUUUCUCCAUAUUCAUGAUCCGAACUUGAGAUUUCUGGUUAAGAGUGGAGCGUCCCACCACUACACUGCGCCACAACCCAUGUCUGUAACUAAUACGCUGACUUCAAGUUGCUAGUACUUUUUAAAUUUAAAUUUGUCGUUGUGUUCUGUUUGGAUUGAAGAAAAGAAAA